UUUUUUUGUUUUUUUGGUUUUUUUUGCUUUGUCAGUUAUAUACAGUAUGAAGUCGCUAUGCACAGAGCUUUUGUAAAGAUAGCUUUUUGGGUUUUUUUGUUUACUGUUUUUAAUGGUCCUACUUAUGGAAGAAUAUCUUGUUUGUAAAAUGAGUAUGUCUACUUCGGUUUUAAACUUUAAAUUAUCCUAACAAAAAAAAAUAAAAUUUUUGUACUGUAAAUAAGGGGGAAUUAUCUUAAUUUCAGUGUUUAAUCUGCUUCUUUAUCAUCUUUUUGGGUCACUCAUGGUAACAAUAACACUUCAAAAUUGCAUAAAAUAUUAUGUGGGAGUUUUUAAAUCAAGAUUUGAAGAAGUGCCUGUAAAAAUAUCCAACCACAAUCUGGGAGAGACAGGUUGAGAUUAUGCUGGCAUGGAAUAAGAGGAUAAUUAAUGGUCUUUUCUCACCAUUUCUUUAUUACAAAUGGACAAGACCUGUGUGAGAGUUCAGCCUUUUUUUUUGGGGGGGGGGGGGAAGGACUUAAAGGGUUGCAAAGGGGGAAUUUGGACACCUUUUUGGACAAUUCCCCUUUUUGUUAUGAGUAUACAGGUGUCAAAGAAAAAAAUCAAAAUUAAAAACAGGGACUGACUGAUCCUGGCCUUUCCCUGGACUAAAUUUGGGGUCCGGUUUUAGGCAUUUUUAAUUUGUGCAAAACUGAGCAAACAACAAACUGCAGAGGUGAAUCACACUGGCUCCCAAAAAUAAUUUGGAUAUAUUUACUCGCUCUUGUGCAGAGUGCACCUCUCAGCCACAGGGAUGGACAAAACAGAGUGCUGAAAACUGCUUGGAAAACGGUAAUUGGCCAUUUGAACCAGAAAUAUUCCAUUUUCUUCACUGAAAAUUACUGGAAAGGUUCAAACAAAUGAAAUUUUAAUGAUGAAGGUCACUUUUACUGACAUUUUUGACAGAAUGUGAGUCAGUAUUUAAAUUAUUGCCAGAUGUCAGUGAAAGCAUCUGAAAACAUGAGGCACUAUCAGCCCUCAAAAACUGAGGGGAAAACGGAGGUUUUUGGUAAGCUGCACCAAUUCCUGCUUUUGGGAUGACAUGCAAUCAGCAGAUGAGCUUCAUCCCAGCACUGAAACCCAGGUUUUCCACUGUCCUGAAGAAAGAUCCUUCAUCUCCCUUGAACAGAGGCCCAUUCUCCUGAAAAUCUUACUCAGCUCUUUCUCCCCCACACAGAAAUCCCAGCAGUGUUUGAAGUGAUGAUUUUGGUGAUAAAACUCCCGGUUCCUGUGAAAGAGAUUCUCAGAUCCAACAGGGCCCUACUGUUGUAGUCCAGGGAGGAAGUGUGUUGGGCAGAUGAAAGCUGGAGAUCUGCUGCUCCACUCCUGCUUUUCUUACAUCUCCUAAGGGCUCGAUGAUGGACAGAUACAAACACGAGCCUGGGAUGUGUCACCCCCUGAGCAACUUCCAAACAAAAUGCUGAGGGAGGGAAGGCGGGGAUGUAGGAGAGUUUCAGACCAAAAAAAUCAAGUUUUUAACUCAAGCACAUGAACAACUCCCUCCAAGCCCAAGUAGCUCAGAUUAUCUAGGAUUAUCUGCAUAGAAAUGUCUUGAAAAACAAAAAAAAAUGCUCUAGGAUCAUUGCCACGAAUGUAUUUUAUAAUCAGUCUUACUCCAUUCUGAAAAAAACAUUGUGAAAAGAGGUUUUUUGGUCAAUGUUAAGACCCAAAAAGGCUUGAAACCUCUCCACACGUUAAAUCCUUGGCUGACCAGGUUUUACAGGAAGAUCAGAUGUUCAGUCUUCCCUCCAAGGUUGCUGCCACGCUCUGGGAAGAGUUGAAUGACUUUGGUCACAUCAGACAUAGAAAGUGGCCCUUUACCAAAGGUAAAGUGAAUUUGUAGAGUACCAGGAAGAGCAAAGGAAUAUUCCUCCUAAGAGCAGUGAUAAUGGGAAUUCUAGGAGUGGCCAGUGAUUGUGCAGGUUGUCCUUCCCCAGGGAGGGGACAGUCACAUCUGGGCAUGGCCAGGUUGAUCUCCCUUGGCUCAGAAACACCUUCUAGAACAGCACAUCCUCUCCCACCUUAUUUUUAAUUUUUGCUUCUUUCCAGGUAUUUUCUAGAUGGAAAAAAUUUGAAUUUUACUUCAAUAAACAGUGAAACAAAAGCCACUCCUUCAGCCAGUUGUGCAGGGCAGGCAGGGAAUUGCCAGCCCAGUUCAAAUAUUUAUCUCUGUGACAACACACAGCUGCUGAGGUGCAGAGAUCUGAAGCUUUAAUGGCACCACGUUAUUUAGGCAGGAAUGUCUCAUUAACUCCGCAGGACUGGCUCAGCCAGCAGCUGGGGAGGGAGCUGAGGUGCCGACAGAGCAGGAGAACAAACACCAGUGGAGAUAAGGGAAGGGGAAACCCAACACUUCUCCAUCCUGAGGGGGAAGGCACCAAAAAAUGUCCCAUGGAGGCAACAGAAGAACUCUGGGGGAAGCACAGCAGGGAAGGGAAAUGGGAUCUGUUGUGCUGUGUCGGAUCUGGGCAAAGUAACAACAUGAGAAAACACAAGCCUGGCCCUUGGCAUGUCCUUUUCCACAGGGAGACGUGGGUGCAACCCUUCCCCUUCUGGAGACAUGGGAAUUGUACCUUCUUAAGUCACCUUUCACCUUCUGGAGGCACAGGAAUUGUACCUUCUUAAGUCACCUUCAUUGGCAGGGGAAGAUCCUUGGAAAUCCAACACAGCUUUUCAGAGAGGCAUUUUAAACCGCUUUUACAAUGGGGGUCAUUCCUAAUUUCAGUUGUGACUUUUAAGAUACGACUCGGUUGUUUCUAAGAGUAACAGAGACAAAAAUAUUCCCAACAGCAAGCAGCCUUUUGAGACUGCUUUAGAUCAAUUUUAAGAGCGUAACUAACCUGGAUGAGAAAUUCAAGCAUCCCUUCUUUUCCCAAAGCUCCCUGGUUUAAGUGGCAGCACCAGAGCGGGGUUUGUGCAGGGCUGGGAUGGAGAAGGACUUCUCCCAACACCUCCCUGCCAUUGCAGGGACUUGAUUGGAAUUUACCAGCAGGGUCCCUCUGACACUGCAAUUGCUGCAAUCAUUUCUUUGUCUUUAAAAUGCCAUAUAAUUGCUAAUGUAAUUAGUGAUGUAUACAGAGGGGGCCCGUGCAAUUACCAAGUCCUAAGAUCAAGUAAUUAAUGUUCUGUCAACAAAACAGCAACUGUUUCAUUAACAACUGUCUGGGUUUGAAAACAGAUCAACUCAGAACGUACCCACUCGGCUGAGCUUGGCACGAGCAGUGGAUUGCAGCCCAAAACACACCAGCCUGGAUCAAACGGGUGUGGGAAAGGGGAUUGUGCCAGUCCCACCUCCAGCUCCCAGAUAUUCCUCCCCCAGUAAGAUGAGGAUUCAGCACUACUGCCCACAGGGACAGGGCUCACAGCUGGAUGUCCCAGUUUUAGGGAUAAUCUCAGGUUUUUAAAAAAAUUUACAGAGGUUUCUAGGACCUGCAAAGGUUUAUUGGAUUGCAGGACUUGGAGUUUUGAUGAGGUGAGGCCUAUGAUUUUUCUGACCUCUGAAUUUACUUUGUAUACCCAAGAUUUUUUCUAUUACCACAACCCCGAGCACCUCCCUCAAAGCAACAGGAGUGGGGUGCCUGCUCUGAUCUGAUUUUUCACUCCCCUUCCUUUAUGAAUUUGAGUUUUAUAAAGAGUUUUUUUCACCUUGUCCUUUCCCUCACAGCUCUUUUUGGAGAGCUCACAUCCCUCCAAGCGUUCCCCAGCCCCACUUUGGUGUCUCUUGCCUGUCUCCUUGUCUCAGUGCUUCCAUCCAGAGCCCAUUUUUAAGGGUGAGACCCUGAAAGGUGAAGCCUGGAAGGAGAUGUCCUGGUCCUGCCCAACUCCAGCUUCUGCUCUGUCCCGACUGCUCCUGCACCUCUCAGUUUGCUCUUUAGGGAGGGAUUCCAGGUCCACCACAGACUUGGAGUCCUGAUGCAUCACCUCAAAUUUCCAGGAUGGGAAUGGUCCCUGUCCCCUCAACACCACAUCUGCUGAGCCAGGAGAAGCUCAGUGCUCCACCUCGUUCCCUCAGAGAAUGGAAUUCCCAACCUGCUGAGCCAGGACAAGAUCAGUGCUCCACCUCGUUCCCUCAGAGGAUGGAAUUCCCAACCUGCUGAGCCAGGAGAAGCUCAGUGCUCCACCUCAUUCCCUCAGAGGAUGGAAUUCCCAAUCCUCCAUCCCUGUUCUCCCUACCCACUUUUCCAGGACACAGUUAACACAGCACAGGAGCUGUGGCAGCACGGAAUUAAGCAGUAGGAGCAGGAGGGAUCAACGGGGAUUUCCGGGGAGAUUUGAAACACAAACAAGCAUGAGGAACUCUAAAAGUACACAAUUUUUCCUCCCGCUCUGCGCGUGUUGUUUUAUUACAGGGUAAUUAAAGAACACUUUAAAAUUUUGAUUAAUGGGCUUUUUAGCUUCAGAGAAAUCACAUCUUUGAUGUCAGUUGCUUAAACAUUCCGUUUACUUUGCCAUUGAGGAAUGGAAAUAAAUAAAGAAUGCCGAGGAUGCUUUUAUCCCCUCCUGCUUUCUACAGGGAAGGUUUGUAACAGUCACAUGGAUAAAAAUGGGAUUCAUGCAAGAAAAAAAAUGUCAUCUCAGUCUGAGUGAAUGAAACCCUGGUCACAAGGAGCAGCUCUGGUCACACUCAGAGCCACAGCGUGACUCCAGCUGCAGUUGGUGUUUACACAGGAUUUCCCUCCUCUGGGAAGCUCCACACAGCAGCAAUAAUUCAGAUUAUUGGAUUUUAAAGGGGGUGGGGAAGCAACUGUGGCGAACCAGAUCCCAAACCAACACCAGGUGCCUUCACAGCCCAUUCCCUGGGGAAAAGACACUUCCCUGGAUGGAGGGAACGAGCUGUUCCUGGUCUCUUUAGCAACACCAGCAAAUCUCAGGUGCCCAGAGCCUUGUUUGCUGCUUAGUCUGAGGCACUGAUUGGAGCAAUGCCUCUCCAGGGUGCUUGUCUCUGUUUCAUAGCACUAUUUUUAACCAUGGAUGAAUCUGCACAGGGUGGAGAGUUAAGGAAGAGAUCAGUUCUAAUUCCCCUUAUUUUUCCUUCCAUUUUAGAUCUGGGCUCCAACACUACCCACAAACCUUGAUAACCUGAACCCCACACUCUUUAUGAUAAAGGUUAUGGAGGUGCUCAGUCCCAUAACAGUAUUUUCAGCCCCCUGGCAGCCUAUUUAGCCAAUAUUUUUUUCUUAAAGACUAAUUUUCAGCAUUUUUUCUCAAUUUUUUCUUUCUCAGCCUUUCCCUUGAGAUCCAUAAUGAUAGAAAAAGUAAAAAAAAAAAAAAAAAAAAAGCAGGUUUUGGAGUUAGUCUUUAUUUAAAAAACAGUUUCUUAAAAUAUUUUUGAAGCUUUAUUGGAGUUCCUUUAUAUAUUUUUGAAGCUCUAUUAUCAUUGGGGUUUUUUGCAUAAAUCCUGCCCUGCACACACACACACACACACACACACACACACACUUCCUUCCAAAUAUCCACCUCUAUGCAGAUUAAAAUUAUGGAUGUUUUUCCUUCAGCUGCUUUUGGAAGAAAAAGGGAGGAAGGGAAAGAGGGGAGGGGGGGAAGAGUCAACUUUAAUACUCUACAGUAGCACAACCCCCUGAGCAUAAAGCAGUGCUCAGGUAGACACAUCUGGUGAAAUGCAUCACAUCAAAUUAGUAUCAAGGGUAUUGAGAUUCUGAGACGACUGGCAGACAAUUCCCCUUCUAAUGCACUGCUUUGGAGCUUGCUGAGGAAACUUGAGUCCCAAAUCUCCAGUGAAAUGAGUGAUACUAAACAUGCCUGCUCAAAUACUGAAAGUGAAGAUCAAAGACGCAGUGUCCAAAUUGGCUUUGCAAACAAAGCAAGCCCGGGGAUCCCCAGGAGGACGUGGUGCUAAUUUUAUCAGAUCUCCUUGACUCCUUCCUCCCAACAGUUUGUCAUUUAAGAAAAAUAAUAAUAAUAAUAAUGAGAAUGCAUUUCUGGCUGGCUGGCAGGAGCUUAGUUGUGAGACAAACAAAUGCAGUGCCUCUUAAGGGUGUACUUUGCAAGGCACCUUAAUCAAGUAAAAGUGAAAAAUGAGAAUAUUUCCCUCUGAAAUCUGCCCACGCCUCGGUCCCCAAACCACACAUAGACAAACACAUGGGGCCAUGAAUAUUUCAGUACAACUCAGGCCUUCAGAUCAAUACAGGCAACUCUCAACUUCUAUUGAUUUUUCAGAGGUUUGGCUCACAGGGGUGAUAAAAUAUUUCUCAAGUUAUGAAACCUGAGCUCGGGAGCUUUUGCUGAUGCCUCAGCAUUUACCUCUCCCCUCCAUGUGGAUUUAUGACUAAGCAAUAAGUCUUGGAAAGGUGGGCACUGCCAUCCCAUAGGGCCCACUUAAGGUCAAAAAGAGAAAUCAGGGCGGUCCUUCAGGUCACCAAAGUUCUGUUUUCUAAGGGAAUCACUUAUUCUUUCCCCUCCAAGUCCUUAUUCCAAGAUUCAUUAGGCAGCGAGUGAAAUUCCCUUUCAGCGUCCCCUGUAAGCUGUCAGAGAGAAAGGGACACCAAAGCAGACACCAAAUAAAGCAACUCCCUGCUGAGGCAAGGGAGCUAAUCCUCUCCAUAUGGAAAGGAAAUACACUUAAUUAUGUAUUUAUGCAUGUCAUUGCAGGCUUAUAUCUUGUUUCACUUUCAUCCACAAUGAUCCAAACCCAUUUCAAUAUAAUGAGUAAACAUUUCUGGGUUUACAGUAACAGAAGCAUACGGUCACUCACCAUUUCCCAACCAUUUCCUCGCAGUUCUGUGCAGUUUUUAUUUGUCCUGGAGCAGCACCCAGGGAAUGCUCUGCUGGAUGGUGACUGUAAGGUGUUUAUAAUCACAAAACCCCAAAAGAGCUGGCCCCAAAGAGCUUAAAACUGAGCUGAAAAAGCAUUUUGAGAGAGAAGUGGGAAUCUGUGGAUGCUGCUGUAAUAUUCCAGUUAUUCCCUCCCAAAAUGGGUAUCUCUGCAUAUCCAAAAAUUAUUUUUUUAACCCAGUGGGUACCCCAGAGUCCAACACAGUCAGUCAGGGACUAAACUCAUUUGCUGGCCCCACCCUGAGUCCUGGUGUAUGUGAAUUAUGGAUCUUAAGUUGCUUUUUGGUAGCUCAGGAGGAGAAUCCUCUCUGUUUUUUUUUUAAAGCAGUUUUGAUUAUUAUUAUUAAUAUUAGGGGUUUUUUUUUAUUUUUUUUACCCAGAAGCACCAAGGAGCUUUCAGGGCCAGGGACACCUUGUGCU
Long non-coding RNA from Taeniopygia guttata (zebra finch), 7251 nucleotides. The record is from Ensembl. Lineage: Eukaryota; Metazoa; Chordata; Aves; Passeriformes; Estrildidae.